CAGCGGGUAGUUUAAAUAAAACAUUAAUCUUGGAGGUUAAUAAUAAAGGGAAUGCUUUUUCUGCUGA
Molecule: transfer RNA, 67 nt
Filed under: Velinus nodipes
Lineage: Eukaryota; Metazoa; Arthropoda; Insecta; Hemiptera; Reduviidae
Description: tRNA-Pro
Source: RNAcentral